RNAcentral lists this ribosomal RNA (253 nucleotides) under uncultured bacterium. Its description in RNAcentral is "partial 16S ribosomal RNA". It matches the Rfam family "Bacterial small subunit ribosomal RNA", at positions 524 to 776 of the family's 1533-position model. The record is from RNAcentral.
GACAGAGGAUGCAAGCGUUAUCCGGAAUGAUUGGGCGUAAAGCGUCUGUAGGUGGCUUUUCAAGUCCGCCGUCAAAUCCCAGGGCUCAACCCUGGACAGGCGGUGGAAACUACCAAGCUGGAGUACGGUAGGGGCAGAGGGAAUUUCCGGUGUAGCGGUGGAAUGCGCAGAUAUCAGGAGGAACACCGAUGGCGAAGGCAGGUCUCUGGGCCAUUACUGACACUGAGAAGCGAAAGCAUGGGGAGCGAACAGG